AAACCCUUAUAGUGAUAUAAGACUGGACAGUGAGAAGUCAGCAGAAGCCGUAGUAGUGUAGAAGUCUAAUGAAAGUUAGAACGAGCGAAGGGC
Molecule: non-coding RNA, 93 nt
Organism: Ornithinibacillus halophilus
Lineage: Bacteria; Bacillati; Bacillota; Bacilli; Caryophanales; Bacillaceae
Source: Rfam